UAGGGAAUCUUGCCCAAUGGACGCAAGUCCGAGGCAGUGACGCCGCGUGAGUGAUGACGGCCUUCGGGUUGUAAAGCUCUUUUCUGCGGGAAGAGGAAGGACGGUACCGCAGCAAUAAGCCUCAGCUAACUACGUGUCAGCAGCCGCGAUCAAACGUAGGAGGCGAGCGUUAUCCGGAAUCAUUGGGCGUAAAGAGCCAGCAGGCGGCUAUUCAAGUUGGAUGUAUAAGCUCUCGACUCAAUCGAGAGAGUGCGUUCAAUACUGGA
Molecule: ribosomal RNA, 266 nt
Filed under: uncultured bacterium
Lineage: Bacteria
Description: partial 16S ribosomal RNA
Rfam family: Bacterial small subunit ribosomal RNA
Source: RNAcentral